AUUGAACGCUGGCGGCAUGCUUUACACAUGCAAGUCGAACGGCAGCGCGGGCUUCGGCCUGGCGGCGAGUGGCGAACGGGUGAGUAAUGCAACGGAACGUGCCCAGUAGUGGGGGAUAGCCCGGCGAAAGCCGGAUUAAUACCGCAUACGACCUGAGGGUGAAAGCGGGGGACCGAAAGGCCUCGCGCUAUUGGAGCGGCCGAUGUCGGAUUAGCUAGUUGGUGGGGUAAAGGCUUACCAAGGCGACGAUCCGUAGCUGGUCUGAGAGGACGACCAGCCACACUGGGACUGAGACACGGCCCAGACUCCUACGGGAGGCAGCAGUGGGGAAUUUUGGACAAUGGGGGCAACCCUGAUCCAGCCAUGCCGCGUGCGGGAAGAAGGCCUUCGGGUUGUAAACCGCUUUUGUUCGGGAAGAAAUCCUCUGGGCUAAUACCCCGGGGGGAUGACGGUACCGGAAGAAUAAGCACCGGCUAACUACGUG
Molecule: ribosomal RNA, 484 nt
Filed under: uncultured bacterium
Lineage: Bacteria
Description: partial 16S ribosomal RNA
Rfam family: Bacterial small subunit ribosomal RNA
Source: RNAcentral